UAGAUAGAAGCCAAUUAGGCACCUAACUGUUAAUUAGCCCCCUGCUGCUACGCAGCCUAUCUAG
This 64-nucleotide transfer RNA is filed under the name Leocrates chinensis. RNAcentral's name for it is "tRNA-Asn". The record is from RNAcentral. Lineage: Eukaryota; Metazoa; Annelida; Polychaeta; Phyllodocida; Hesionidae.